GGAGAGGAAGGAAGAAGAGGUGUUAGUUGUCAACUAACAUGAUGUCAUGAUGGAUUAACUGACCAACUGACUGACUC
Etheostoma cragini (Arkansas darter) is the source of this 77-nucleotide long non-coding RNA. RefSeq lists it as uncharacterized. The record is from RefSeq and is a predicted model, not a curated record. The transcript is spliced from 3 exons. Lineage: Eukaryota; Metazoa; Chordata; Actinopteri; Perciformes; Percidae.